GAUGAACGCUAGCUACAGGCUUAACACAUGCAAGUCGAGGGGAAACGAUAGAGAAAGCUUGCUUUUUCUAGGCGUCGACCGGCGCACGGAUGAGUAACGCGUAUCCAACCUGCCCAUCACUUGGGGAUAACCUUGCGAAAGUAAGACUAAUACCCAAUGAUAUCUCUAGAAGACAUCUGAAGGAGAUUAAAGAUUUAUCGGUGAUGGAUGGGGAUGCGUCUGAUUAGCUUGUUGGCGGGGUAACGGCCCACCAAGGCGACGAUCAGUAGGGGUUCUGAGAGGAAGGUCCCCCACAUUGGAACUGAGACACGGUCCAAACUCCUACGGGAGGCAGCAGUGAGGAAUAUUGGUCAAUGGGCGAGAGCCUGAACCAGCCAAGUAGCGUGCAGGAUGACGGCCCCAUGGGUUGUAAACUGCUUUUAUAAGGGAAUAAAGUGAGCCUCGUGAGGCUUUUUGCAUGUACCUUAUGAAUAAGGACCGGCUAAUUCCGUGCCAGCCGCCGCCGUAA
This 508-nucleotide ribosomal RNA is filed under the name uncultured bacterium. Its description in RNAcentral is "partial 16S ribosomal RNA". It matches the Rfam family "Bacterial small subunit ribosomal RNA", at positions 28 to 523 of the family's 1533-position model. The record is from RNAcentral.